GCGUUGUUCGGAAUUACUGGGCGUAAAGCGCACGUAGGCGGACAUUUAAGUCAGGGGUGAAAUCCCAGAGCUCAACUCUGGAACUGCCUUUGAUACUGGGUGUCUGGAGUAUGGAAGAGGUGAGUGGAAUUCCGAGUGUAGAGGUGAAAUUCGUAGAUAUUCGGAGGAACACCAGUGGCGAAGGCGGCUCACUGGUCCAUUACUGACGCUGAGGUGCGAAAGCGUGGGGAGCAAACAGG
Molecule: ribosomal RNA, 239 nt
Filed under: uncultured bacterium
Lineage: Bacteria
Description: partial 16S ribosomal RNA
Rfam family: Bacterial small subunit ribosomal RNA
Source: RNAcentral